GCCGUUCCGGGAAGCCGGCCUUCCGGAGGCCGCGCGGCGGCCACGGCCUUGCCAAGGGCGCGGGGCGUGGGCCAGGCCCAGCGGGCGGCCUCCGGGCGGGGUAGCUCGCGCUGGGCGCGUCCCCUAGCACUAAACGCUUCCAGGCGCGGCUCUGCAGGGUUAAAAGACCCUGGAAGAGGCCCGGCUGGAACCAGAGAAGAAAAGCAGAGGGAUGUGUUCUCUGAGUCUGGGAGUUGGUCAAACUGGUUCUCCAUUCCUGCGAUGACCUGGGAGCUGGGAGCCGCCUGGAGAGGAAGAAGCAGUCCCUGCCAGGGCCUUGGAAACCCUGAGUAACGGACAGGGGAGCCAGUGCCCUGCUCCACCCAGGGAUAGCUGCUGUCUGCAGCACAGAGCUCGAACCACACACGUGGGAGGAAUGGAUUUCUUAAACAGAUGCUGAAAGGAAGCCCAGAUUCUGAAGCUGGAAAGAGCAAAAAAUAGGAUAUUAUUUGAAAUGUAAUAUUGUAUUAU
Non-coding RNA from Manis javanica (Malayan pangolin), 510 nucleotides. NCBI's taxonomy places the organism in Eukaryota, Metazoa, Chordata, Mammalia, Pholidota, Manidae. The record is from RefSeq and is a predicted model, not a curated record.